This is a long non-coding RNA of Monodelphis domestica (gray short-tailed opossum), 3017 nucleotides long. RefSeq lists it as uncharacterized. NCBI's taxonomy places the organism in Eukaryota, Metazoa, Chordata, Mammalia, Didelphimorphia, Didelphidae. The record is from RefSeq and is a predicted model, not a curated record.
UAAUAUAUAUUAAAUUUAUAUCUAAUAUGUUUAAUAUAUUGUAUAUUAAUAUUAUAUUUUAAUGCAUUUAAUAUAUUAUCUAUUAAUACUUAGAAUUAAUACUAUAUUAACACAGAAGGGUGGUAAGAGCUAGGUUAUUAGGGUUAAGUGACUUACCCAGGGUCACCCAGCUAGGGAAUGUCUGAAGCCACAUUUGAACUCAGGUCCUCCCCUCUCUAGGCCUGCCUCUCUGUCUACUGAGCUACCUGGCUGCCCCCUGUGAACUUAUUUUUUUUUUAAUAGUUUGACAAAUAUUUCAAUAUAAUUGUUGUCUUUUGUAAUCCUACACAUUUUAUUUUAUGCAUUUUAAAAUAUGAUUCUGAAGAGUCCAUAGGCUUUGUCACACACACACACACACACACACACACACACACACACACACACACACACACACACACACAGAGGAUUUUAACUUUCUCAGUGGAAGUAAAUGCUGCCUUCCAUCCAGGCUUUGCUGGCUGGUCCCAGCUGGAAGACCCUCUCUUUUCUGCCUCCUCAAUCCCAUUAUUUCUUUGAUUUGAGAAACCGUGUGCUUCUCUCCCUUCCUCUCUGGGCCCCCAAAAGACUGAGAACAGAGGAGCGAGUCAGGAGAAGACUUCAGGCAGUCCCCGCAGACUCAGGAGUGGUCACUCUCCCUGGGUCGCUCAGCUCGCCGGUAUUCGGACCCCAAUCCGAGUCUCACACUUAUAAAAUGGUAGAUUUAGGCGGGGAAGGGGCCGUCCCUUGAUUCUGAGUGGCCGAAGGGAAAAGGAACUGGGUCGGUGAUUUCUUUGGCAAAAUUCUCUACCUCAGAGUCUUCGGGGUCAUCUUGAGCGCUGGGAGUUUCAGUGACUUGCCCAGGAUCAGACGGCCAACAUGACUUCAGGACUCGCUCUCCAGCCAAUGUGCUUAUUUCACGGAUGAAUAAACCGAGGCCCAGAGAAUUGAAACGAUGUAAAGGAAGAAAGUGGCAGAGUUGGGAUUUGAACUCACAAUCUCUUACUAUAGAUUUCUUCUCUAUGGAGAUGCUUAACUGUUUUGUGUGCGUGCGCACACUUGACCCCUUUGCCAGGCUCAGAUGAAGCCUGGGGACUCUUCAGAAUAAUAUUUGUAAAAGACCAGCGAUUCUAGAGAUCUUUGCUUUCCCCUACUCCAGGCUGCCUCCCUAACCAUUAUACUACACGAUCAGGUUACUUAUCAGGGAGAAUGAAUCACUCUUUUACCAACCUCUGAUAAAUACACAACUCAGGGUGGUCUUGUCUGGGCUGCGAUGAGGAGGGCCACACUGCCAAGGGGUUCUCUCCGCAAUCCUGCCUUUGACUGUCCCUUUUCUUUGUCUCUCUCUGACUCUGGGUGGCUCAGAUGGCUCUCACUCUUCCCACACCUCCCAGUGGCCAUGACCCAUGUGUGCCUCUGCCACCCCCAAGCAGGGGCCCCAAAGGGGCUUCCAAUCGUUCCUAGAACGGGCUGAGGAGGGGGCGGCACUCACCUGUGGAGAGGGCCUAGCCUGGGUCCAGUCACUGGCUAUUGUCUCCGAUAGGCAGGUUCCCAGCUGCCUGUCUCUGCUCUGUGGAGGCUGCUUCUAUUUUGAAUUUGUGUUUAAUUAUAAACCAUGAUCUGCUUCCCCCCUGCCGCCCUCCUCUUCUUCCUCUCCACCCUACCCGGGGCCAUCGGUCCCCUUCGUUCCCAGGAGGGGAAGGUGCCGAGAGGAUGAGCCCAGUCUGACGGUCCUGGCACCCGACACCUGCCUCCUCCCCCUCUGACCCAACAUCAGCACUCCACACGCUACGGAUACAGCUGGUCCAGUCAUAGCCUAGGCUAUAUAUACGACUUGAGUUUACCCCCAGGAUGCCAGACCACAAGGCAGAGUAACAAGGAACCUGUGAGGAUUUUGCCCAGAAAUGAAGCCUAUACUUCACAGAAACUAGAUGUCUUUUCUUGCAGAGUGGUAGGUGCCAUUAGACUCUCCCCAUCCCCAUUAUGUUGUUCCUGGCUAAGUUGGAGGUCCAAGUUACGCAGCUGAGAGAGGAACCCCAGAUUGGGGCAGAUAUUUCGAUGGACAUUUACUGUCUUCAAGGCUUCCACCAAGGUCAGAUGCUUCCGGAGCAUCAGGAAGGCAAGUACCAGGGUAGCAGAGCGACUAAGCCCCAUGGCACAGUGGACAAGCACCUUCCCUGGGAAGAAUCAUAGAAUCAGGGAUUUAGAUGUGGAAGGGACCCUAAGGGCUAUUGAGUCCAAGUCUCAUUUCACAGAUGAGAAAAUGAGGCCAAGAGAGACUAAGUAACUUGUCUAUAGUCUCACAGCUAGUAUGUAUCUAAGGCUGGAUUUGAACUUGGGUCUUCCUGAUGCCAAAUCCAAUACAUUAUGCCAUGGAGCUGGAGAAACAAGAACAGUCCCAAGUGGGUAUAAAGGAAAGGGCAAUGAAAGAAGAGUCUCCUAUCCAUUUUACAGGCUGGGGACUUACAACCCAAUGCAACAGAAAAUCAGGGGGCAGCUAUAGGUAUUAAAUCACGCCAAACCCCUAGACCUAGGGCACUGGACUUCCAGACUCACUUCUGCUCAUUUUCAUACAGUCCUGAGAAUAGGGUAGGAUGCAGCGCUUCAAAGGUCUUGGGCAAAGGAGAGAGUCCCUGCCACCUGCCUCCCUCUUACCUUCUGGGGUGUCUAAGGCUCCCUGGAUGAAGUUUGCUGCCUCAUGGAAAAAGACACUGAGGUCAAAGGCACAGUCAUCAAAAGCCUCUAUCCCAAGGUUUGGCAUGCAGAAUUGAACAUAAGUAUCAGAUGAGGACUGAUAAGAACACAGUUACGGAAGACUAUUCUCUCCUUAUUUCUGGAAGCUCUUCCCCUUUUACUGCAACCCAAAAUGAUAUUAGUUUUCUUUGCUGCUGAAUCACACGGCUCUUUCCUAUUGCGUGCAAUGAGAAACUAAUAUGUUAAUCUCAAGUUAUUAAUAGUUGUUAAUAUCUCCCAAAAGUUAAUAAAAGCUGGUUUUUCCCCCA